CACCUCUAGCAUUACUAGUAUUAGAGGCACUGCCUGCCCAGUGACAUUAGUUAAACGGCCGCGGUAUCCUGACCGUGCAAAGGUAGCAUAAUCAUUUGUUCUUUAAAUAGGGACUUGUAUGAACGGCCACACGAGGGUUCUACUGUCUCUUGCUUCCAAUCAGUGAAAUUGACCUCCCCGUGCAGAGGCGGGGAUACACAAAUAAGACGAGAAGACCUUAUGGAGCUUUAAUUAACUAACUCAAAGAAAACAUAAAUAACCGCCAAGGGAUAAUAAUCUUCUACCUGAGUUAGCAAUUUCGGUUGGGGUGACCUCGGAGAACAGAAAAACCUCCGAGUGACUAAAAUCUAGACUUACCAGUCAAAAUGUAGUGUCACUUAUUGAUCCAAAAUAUUUGAUCAACGGAACAAGUUACCCUAGGGAUAACAGCGCAAUCCUAUUCAAGAGUUCAUAUCGACAAUAGGGUUUACGACCUCGAUGUUGGAUCAGGACGCCCCAAUGGUGCAGCCGCUAUUAAAGGUUCGUUUGUUCAACGAUUAAAGUCCU
RNAcentral lists this ribosomal RNA (546 nucleotides) under Camelus bactrianus (Bactrian camel). Its description in RNAcentral is "partial large subunit ribosomal RNA". It matches the Rfam family "Bacterial large subunit ribosomal RNA", at positions 1816 to 2597 of the family's 2925-position model. Lineage: Eukaryota; Metazoa; Chordata; Mammalia; Artiodactyla; Camelidae. The record is from RNAcentral.